This 404-nucleotide ribosomal RNA is filed under the name uncultured bacterium. Its description in RNAcentral is "partial 16S ribosomal RNA". It matches the Rfam family "Bacterial small subunit ribosomal RNA", at positions 28 to 526 of the family's 1533-position model. The record is from RNAcentral.
GACGAACGCUGGCGGCGUGCCUAAUACAUGCAAGUCGAACGCAGUGGGGACGGGUGAGUAACACGUGGGUAACCUCCCAUAAGAAGGGGAUAACACUUGGGAAAAGGUGCUACACCGAUACUGAUGGAUGGACCAGCGGGGCAUUAGCUAGUUGGUGAGGUAACGGCACACCAAGGGCACGAAGCAUAGCCGCCCUGAGAGGGUGGUCGGCCACACGGGUACGGCGACACGGCCCAGACUCCUACGGGAGGCAGCAGUAGGGAAUCUUCGGCAAUGGACGAAAGUCUGACCUAGCAACGCCGCUUGAGUGAAGAAGGUUUUCGGAUCGUAAAACUCUGUUGUUAGAGAAGCGGUAUCUAACCAGAAAGCCACGGCUAACUACGUGCCAGCAGCCGCGGUAAUAC